UACGUAGGGUGCAAGCGUUGUCCGGAAUUAUUGGGCGUAAAGAGCUCGUAGGCGGCUUGUCGCGUCGGCUGUGAAAACCUGGGGCUCAACCCCGGGCCUGCAGCCGAUACGGGCAAACUAGAGUAUUGCAGGGGAGACUGGAAUUCCUGGUGUAGCGGUGAAAUGCGCAGAUAUCAGGAGGAACACCGGUGGCGAAGGCGGGUCUCUGGGCAAUAACUGACGCUGAGGAGCGAAAGCGUGGGGAGCGAACAGG
Molecule: ribosomal RNA, 253 nt
Filed under: uncultured bacterium
Lineage: Bacteria
Description: partial 16S ribosomal RNA
Rfam family: Bacterial small subunit ribosomal RNA
Source: RNAcentral